Molecule: unclassified non-coding RNA, 1141 nt
Filed under: Mesorhizobium sp. S658
Lineage: Bacteria; Pseudomonadati; Pseudomonadota; Alphaproteobacteria; Hyphomicrobiales; Phyllobacteriaceae
Description: partial contains 16S ribosomal RNA, 16S-23S ribosomal RNA intergenic spacer, and 23S ribosomal RNA
Rfam family: tRNA (bases 290-363)
Source: RNAcentral
UUUAGCUUCGGCUGGUCUUUUACCUGUCUAUUAGAACAAAGGUUGCAAGCCAGUCAGCUUGACAACCGUGCAUGACAAUGCAGGGACUGCCGCCUACGUUUCUCUUUCUUUGAUGUUUUUGUAAGCGCUCACGCAUGUGCGGUCCUUUGGACCUCGUGCUCCGCGAGGGCGCGGCACGAGCCGCGACGGCCGGUCGGCCUACUUUGGUGACCUACCGUUUGAGGACGGGCGCACGGCACGAGCUGCGACGCGUAAGCGCGCUGCAUUUGACGGUUGAUCCGGCAAAUCAGGGCUUGUAGCUCAGUUGGUUAGAGCGCGCGCUUGAUAAGCGUGAGGUCGGAGGUUCAAGUCCUCCCAGGCCCACCAUUUGUUCUGUGCUCACGCAUGAGCGGGGCCAAAGCCCCUAUGCUUGCGCACGGGGCGGCCAAAAGUGGCCGGCGCGCAGUCGCGCUUGCGAAGCUUUGCUUCGUUUUACCGUUCACGCAUGAGCUGGACUGGUUAUCCUUUACCUUACGGGGGGCGUAGCUCAGCUGGGAGAGCACCUGCUUUGCAAGCAGGGGGUCGUCGGUUCGAUCCCGUCCGCCUCCACCAAAGGUUUUGGCAGAUGGAGGGCGCAAAAACAUCAUUUGAAGAAGCAAGUUUGCAGCUUGUCGGGUUUGUGCCUGAUGGUUGCCUGUUCUGUAUGAAAUUGUGAAGAGAAGAUAAGUUCGGAUUGUUCCGGAUGUUCAAGGGUUUGUGCCUUCGGGGACUGAUCCGUCGGCCUUUGGCCAUGAACGCCGGGAAAUGUCGCAAGGGAUGCUCAUCAAAAGCCCUUGCAGAUGAUUGGCCGCUUAACCGCAGAGCCACCGGAUUUAUCUCGAGAAGCUGGUCUUUUUUGUCAUAUUGAUCGAUUGCAACGCUCGAAGCGCUGCAUGGGAAGCUCCCGUGUAGACCGCUAGGUCGUCGGCCAUGUCUGGCCGCGCCCCGCGCAGCGCCAGCCCGCAAGGGCGGUACGGCGCGUGAGCGAGAAUGCAAUAUUGUCUUGCUUUGCAAGACAAGAUGGAUAUUGGCAAUGAGAAUGAUCAAGUGUCUUAAGGGCAUUUGGUGGAUGCCUUGGCAUGCACAGGCGAUGAAGGACGUGAUACGCUGCGAUAAGCGUCGG